GAAGUGUAACAUUCAGGUGAAAAUUGCAGUUUUAAGUUGGUAUAAUGUCGAACUUAAUAAGAACAGUUGUGUUUAAUAAUGGGGUGAAGUGUCCUAUGUUUGGACUUGGGACAUGGAGGGCAAAUGGCAAGGAAGCUUACAGCUGUGUAAAGGAAGCCAUAGCAAUGGGAUAUCGGCACAUAGACACAGCAUAUUACUACACGAAUGAGGAGGAGGUUGGAAAAGGUAUUGCCGAUGCUAUGAGUGAAUAUAAAAUACCAAGAGAAGAGAUGUUUGUGGUGACAAAAUUGCCCAAUACUUGUAAUAGGCCAAGCUUGGUGUUGCCUGCCAUGAAAGAAAGUCUCAAGAAACUGAAUUUGGACUAUGUUGAUUUAUACCUAGUACAUAGCCCUGUGUGCAUAAGCCCAAUCGGAGAGGUGGUAUCAUUGGAUUCGAAAGUUGAUGAAAAUGGGGAUCCUGUUUUUGAUGAUAUUGAUCCAAGUGUAACAUGGAAGGAAAUGGAAAAAUGUGUCGAUUUAGGUUUGGCAAAAUCAAUUGGCGUAUCCAACUUUAACAGUGAGCAAGUUCAAUCUGUACUGAAUACUUGUCGCAUAAAACCAAUCACCAACCAAGUGGAGAGCCAUAUUAUGUUGCAGCAAAAUAAACUGAGAAAUAUGUGUCAGCAGAAUAACAUAAAACUCACUGUAUUUCGCAGCUUAGGCGGUCAAGUCAAACUAUCCGAGCAUCCAGAUAUGUUUAAUAAUCCUACUGUAAUGAAGAUUGCUAAAAAGCAUGAUCGCUCCGUUUCUCAAAUUCUGUUAAGGUGGCACAUUGAGAAGGGUCACAUAUUGCUGGUAAAAUCAAGCAAUCCUGAGCAUUUAAAGUCAAACAUAAAUAUUUUUGAAUUUUCACUGACAGAAGAAGAUAUGGAUGAGUUGUCAAAAUUAGAUUCGGGUUUUCGUUUUUGCCCUUUUAAUGCAAAUAAGCCUAGCAAACAAUAUCCAUUUCAUAUAGAAUUUUAGUCCCAAACUUUUUCCUGGUUGGUUUUGGGUAAUAAGGUUAUUACUUUGAGAGUAUGAGGUGUAGCAUCUUGCAUCUAGCGUGGCACUUAAUUCCUAACUGUAUCAAAAUAUCAUCACAUUAACAUGUAACUCAAAAUUAAUUAUUUUUCUUUUUGUCAAAUGCAUAUAACCGAUGGCAUAAGACAAUAAGAGAACAUUUAGAUUAAUCAUCUUUACUUGAAAAACGCCCACCAGUGCAAUUGUUGAGUUUUGCUGCAGUGAAUGUUUUAAACAUAUUAUGCCUACUUUAAAAAACAAGAUUCUCAGAUUCCAUUAGUCGAUGUCAAUGUUAAGAUAAAUUUGAUGAGGUGAAUUCUAUACUUAAAGCGCUAAUUUUUUUCUGAUUACAUUUUUAGACUUUA
RNA transcript from Ciona intestinalis (vase tunicate), 1402 nucleotides. It is a transcript of the gene named 1,5-anhydro-D-fructose reductase pseudogene, with no coding region annotated. NCBI's taxonomy places the organism in Eukaryota, Metazoa, Chordata, Ascidiacea, Phlebobranchia, Cionidae. The record is from RefSeq and is a predicted model, not a curated record.